This 253-nucleotide ribosomal RNA is filed under the name uncultured bacterium. RNAcentral describes it as "partial 16S ribosomal RNA". It matches the Rfam family "Bacterial small subunit ribosomal RNA", at positions 524 to 776 of the family's 1533-position model. The record is from RNAcentral.
UACGGGGGGGGUAAGCGUUGUUCGGAAUUACUGGGCGUAAAGGGCUCGUAGGCGGCCAACUAAGUCAUACGUGAAAUCCCUCAGCUUAACUGGGGAACUGCGUGUGAUACUGGAUGGCUUGGAUGUGGGAGAGGGAUGCGGAAUUCCAGGUGUAGCGGUGAAAUGCGUAGAUAUCUGGAGGAACACCGAUGGCGAAGGCAGCCUCCUGGGCUAGUACUGACGCUCAUGCACGAAAGCGUGGGGAGCAAACAGG